Molecule: ribosomal RNA, 383 nt
Filed under: uncultured bacterium
Lineage: Bacteria
Description: bacterial SSU rRNA
Rfam family: Bacterial small subunit ribosomal RNA
Source: RNAcentral
AAAGCACUUUCAGUAGGGGAGGAAGGUAGUGUAGUUAACACCUGCAUUAUUUGACGUUACCUACAGAAGAAGCACCGGCUAACUCCGUGCCAGCAGCCGCGGUAAUACGGAGGGUGCGAGCGUUAAUCGGAAGUUACUGGGCGUAAAGCGCAUGCAGGCGGCCUGUUAAGUCAGAUGUGAAAGACCCGGGGCUUAACCUCGGAAUUGCAUUUGAAACUGGCAGGCUAGAGUCUUGUAGAGGGGGGUAGGAAUUUCAGGUGUAGCGGUGAAAUGCGUAGAGAUACUGAAGGAAUACCAGUGGCGAAGGCGGCCCCCUGGACAAAGACUGACGCUCAGAUCGCGAAAGCGUGGGGGAGCAAACCAGGAUUAGAUACCCCUGGUAG